RNAcentral lists this ribosomal RNA (394 nucleotides) under uncultured Gammaproteobacteria bacterium. RNAcentral describes it as "bacterial SSU rRNA". It matches the Rfam family "Bacterial small subunit ribosomal RNA", at positions 370 to 779 of the family's 1533-position model. The record is from RNAcentral. Lineage: Bacteria; Pseudomonadati; Pseudomonadota; Gammaproteobacteria.
AAUGGGCGAAAGCCUGACGGAGCAACGCCGCGUGAGGGAUGAAGGCCUCUGGGCUGUAAACCUCUUUUAUCAAGGAAGAAGAUCUGACGGUACUUGAUGAAUAAGCCACGGCUAAUUCCGUGCCAGCAGCCGCGGUAGUACGGGAGUGGCAAGCGUUAUCCGGAAUUAUUGGGCGUAAAGCGUCCGCAGGCGGCCUUUCAAGUCUGCUGUUAAAAAGUGGAGCUUAACUCCAUCAUGGCAGUGGAAACUGUUGGGCUUGAGUGUGGUAGGGGCAGAGGGAAUUCCCGGUGUAGCGGUGAAAUGCGUAGAUAUCGGGAAGAACACCAGUGGCGAAGGCGCUCUGCUGGGCCAUCACUGACGCUCAUGGACGAAAGCCAGGGGAGCGAAAGGGAUU